This 519-nucleotide ribosomal RNA is filed under the name uncultured eukaryote. RNAcentral's name for it is "SSU rRNA". It matches the Rfam family "Eukaryotic small subunit ribosomal RNA", at positions 1161 to 1705 of the family's 1831-position model. The record is from RNAcentral.
AGGGCACCACCAGGAGUGGAGCCUGCGGCUUAAUUUGACUCAACACGGGGAAACUCACCCGGCCCGGACACCGUAAGGAUUGACAGAUUGAUAGCUUUUUCAUGAUUCGGCGGAUGGUGGUGCAUGGCCGUUCUUAGUUCGUGGAGCGAUUUGUCUGGUUUAUUCCGAUAACGAGCGAGACUCUAGCCUACUAAAUAGUUCGCACAUUGUCUCUGUGUGUGUGACUUCUUAGAGGGAUUUUCGGUGUUCAGCCGCACGAAAUUGAGCAAUAACAGGUCUGUGAUGCCCUUAGGUGUCCGGGGCUGCACGCGCGCUACACUGGCAAAAUCAGCGUGCUUGUCCUUCCCCGAAAGGGGUUGGUAAACCCUUGAAAAUUUGCCGUGAUUGGGAUUGGAAAUUGCAAUUAUUUUCCAUGAACGAGGAAUUCCAAGUAAGUGCGAGUCAUCAGCUCGCGUUGAUUACGUCCCUGCCCUUUGUACACACCGCCCGUCGCUGCCCGGGACUGAGCCAUUUCGAGAA